CCUACGGGCGACAGCAGUCGAGAAUCAUUCACAAUGGGGGAAACCCUGAUGGUGCGACGCCGCGUGGGGGAAUGAAGGUCUUCGGAUUGUAAACCCCUGUCAUGUGGGAGCAAAUUAAAAAGAUAGUACCACAAGAGGAAGAGACGGCUAACUCUGUGCCAGCAGCCGCGGUAAUACAGAGGUCUCAAGCGUUGUCCGGAAUCACGGGGCGUAAGGCGUGCGUAGGCUGUUUCGUAAGUCGUGUGUGAAAGGCGCGGGCUCAACCCGCGGACGGCACAUGAUACUGCGAGACUAGAGUAAUGGAGGGGGAAACGGAAUUCUCGGUGUAGCAGUGAAAUGCGUAGAUAUCGAGAGGAACACUCGUGGCGAAGGCGGGUUCCUGGACAUCAACUGACGCUGAGGCACGAAGGCCAGGGGAGCGAAAGGGAUUAGAUACCCGGGUAGUC
This 446-nucleotide ribosomal RNA is filed under the name uncultured bacterium. RNAcentral describes it as "partial 16S ribosomal RNA". It matches the Rfam family "Bacterial small subunit ribosomal RNA", at positions 338 to 795 of the family's 1533-position model. The record is from RNAcentral.